Molecule: RNA transcript, 2438 nt
Organism: Magnolia sinica
Lineage: Eukaryota; Viridiplantae; Streptophyta; Magnoliopsida; Magnoliales; Magnoliaceae
Gene name: CLP protease regulatory subunit CLPX1, mitochondrial-like
Exons: 10
Source: RefSeq, a predicted model, not a curated record
ACAAAAACCCUCGGACGGUCUCUCUCUCUGUUUCUCUCACUCCCGAACCCUCUCCUCUCCCAAACCCUCCCCUCACGAACCCGCGCCUCCUCUCUGCAUCCCGCUUGCAAAAAAAACCCUAGAAAUCUAGGUUUUACCACUAUUACCUUCUAUAUGCACUGGAUUCAGGGCACUUUUUUUCCUCCAAUCAAACAGACCAAACCCCUAGAAUCAAUCCUUCUAGAAAUCAGCAAUGUGAACAGGAUGAUGCGGAGGUCACGGCGAGGAUCAAUGGUGGAGGUGGUGUUGAGAGCCUAGACUACGAGAUCAUUGAGAAUUACGCCUACAGGGAAGAACGGGUCGAGUAUCAGGGUUUUAAUCCGGUUUUGGAGGAGAACUAAAUACAAUUUUGCAAUUUUUUCCUGAUUUCUCCAUUUUAUUUUGAGAUCCGAUGAUAGGCACAGAGAGGAAACCUGUACACCGGAUAUUAUGUGAUGGUGAAAUGGUUCUUUUCAUUGUUCACUGGCAUCGGUACUGGAUUAGCUGCCAUUUUUAUCAAUCUAGCUGUUGAGAACUUCGCUGGCUGGAAGUUUGCUGCAACCUUCAAAAUAAUACAGAGCUCGUACAUUGCGGGUUUCAUUGUGUACAUAUUGAUCAACCUGGCUUUGGUUUUAUCUUAUGUGUUUAUUGUCACACAAUUUGCACUGGCAGCGGCAAGAUCUGGCAUUCCCGAAAUUAAGGGGUACUUGAGCGGCAUUAAUACACCUGGACUCCUUUUUAGAACUUUGAUUGGAAAGUUAUUUGGAAGCAUUAGUUCAGUGGGAGGCGGGCUUGCUUUGGGUGUAAUUCUCAAUGAUCUCUUUCCCCACAAUUUCAUGAGUAUAGUGCUCAAAGCCGGUAACAGAGUGACCGAGGCAUUUCUACAGAUGAAUCUGGACAAGUUGGUCCUUGCAUCCCAUGUCGCUGCCAGGUUAUGUGAUGGUGGGGAGCUCUUAGAUAGAAUACUUUCUAGGUUUGCAAAGUGGAAACUAGAUGAGCUUGUUUAUCUCAGGAAUCAACUACAGGUUUCGUAUGCUCCUCAGUUCGAGUCUCUUUUUGAUACGAAGGAGAAACAGGAAGGCAGGAGAAAAGAAGUUCUAAGCCGACUAAACUGAGUUUCUUCUAAGAUUGAUAUGUGCAGUCACUUGCAAAAAUUACCUCAUUGUACCUUGAAACAAGCUUGCUCUUCUUUUUUCCUCUUCUUCUAUAUCUACAAAUUGCAGCUAGAAGAUCCAAAGGAUCAGAGCCUUCCAAGCAAAUGACCAUUAGAAAGUGAAGAAUUAGAGAAAGGCCUUGCACAACCCUUGCUCAUAAACUCAGAAGAGAAACAAAACGAUAAAGAUGGAGACCAAGAUUGUGAUGGUAGUGAAGCAUCAGCAGAAGUGUCCAACAAACCUGCUACUUCCAUUGCAGCAGCAUAUAGAUUGCUGAAGCCAACAGUGAAGGUCCAGUUAUUGAUCUAUUUCAUGCUCAAAUAUGCUAUGGAGAUUUUACUUUCUGAAUCAAGCACCAUUACCACAUUUUACUUCCGUUGGUCAACUAGUUCUGUGGCAAUUUUCCUUUUUUUUGCUUGGGGCUUACAGUUCUUCCAGUUAACAUCGUUAUCGGAAGCUACAUCAGCAACAUGUUUGAAGACAGAGAAGAAAGAAUUUCUGGAGACGCUCUACUAUAAAGAAUGAUGUCGAAGAACCAAAAGAUCUUUCAGUUGCGAAUGUGCAUAGAGAUGGAGGGAAUCAUGGAAAAGGUUUUGAAUUACCAUUAUUCCACUUUGCUGGAAUUAGAAUUGCUACAGAUAACUUCAGUGAUGCAAAUAAGAUUGGGAAGGAUAACUUCAGUGGAAUCUCCACUGGAACAAGUAGUAGCUGUUAAAAGACUUUCCGAAAGGUCUAAUCAAGGCGUAGAAGAGUUCAAGAAUGAGAGUUUAUUGAUAUCUAAACUUCAGCACAGGAAUCUUAUUAGGCUGUUGGGGUGUUGUGUUGAAGGAGAUGAAAAAAUACUCAUGAGUACAUGCCAAAACAAAAGCUUGGAUGCCUUUCUCUUCGGUUUGUCUGUGCUAUAACUCAAUUAUCUUUGCUACACUACUGCGAAUUUAUUUAGGGAGGGGGGAAUGCAUUUGAAGACUGUAUUACACUGCAAUAUUUACUUAUCUGACACAACAGUGGCAUACCUCUAAAUAAUGAGCAUGCCAUAAUCUCUCUCCUGUCUGAUGAUCCCAGCCAUCUGAUUAAAAUUGCUAAUUAGGUAAGGUCCUGCAUAUAACAAGGUCAAACCUAGCCUCUCUGUUUUUGUUGAGGGCCUGCUUGAAUUGUAAUUCUUGUGAAAUCCUUUUGCCAUGGAAUAGAAUUGAUUUGUUCUUUUGAAAAAAAUGACAAGAAGCUUGCAUGAAUCUCCUGUCUAUUUGGCUACUGUUCUUGAGUACC